CCUACGGGUGGCAGCAGUGAGGAAUAUUGGUCAAUGGGCGCGAGCCUGAACCAGCCAAGUCGCGUGAGGGAGGACGGCCCUACGGGUUGUAAACCUCUUUUGCCGGGGAGCAACGGGCGUCACGUGUGGCGCCACUGAGAGUACCCGGAGAAAAAGCAUCGGCUAACUCCGUGCCAGCAGCCGCGGUAUUACGGAGGAUGCGAGCGUUAUCCGGAUUUAUGGGGUUUAAAGGGAGCGUAGGCGGGUUGUUAAGUCAGUUGUGAAAGUUUGCGGCUCAACCGUAAAAUUGCAGUUGAUACUGGCAUCCUUGAGUACAGUAGAGGUAGGCGGAAUUCGUGGUGUAGCGGUGAAAUGCUUAGAUAUCACGAAGAACUCCGAUUGCGAAGGCAGCCUGCUGGACUGUAACUGACGCUGAUGCUCGAAAGUGUGGGUAUCAAACAGGAUUAGAUACCCUAGUAGUC
This 461-nucleotide ribosomal RNA is filed under the name uncultured bacterium. Its description in RNAcentral is "partial 16S ribosomal RNA". It matches the Rfam family "Bacterial small subunit ribosomal RNA", at positions 338 to 795 of the family's 1533-position model. The record is from RNAcentral.